AUGUCACGCCUUCAGGUCCGCUCUUUCUCCAGCCCCGUUUCCUCACGCGCCAACGAUCUGCUGACCGAACUCCACGGCCAUCUGGGCUUCGGGACGCUCAGGCCAGAGCUCGCGCACCAACUGUUCGACGAAAUGCUGCGCCAACCUGUCCCAGUAUCAGCGCGUGCACUCAACGGCUUAUUUGCUGCCCUCGCAUGUGCGCCGCCCUCCGCCGCCUGCACCGACGGCCCUGUCCUCGCCAUCCAUCUUUUCAACCGCAUGGCCCGAGCAGGCUGCCGCAGGGUGAUAGCACUCACCAGUCACACCUACAGCAUACUAAUUGAAUGUUGCUGCCGCACGCGCCGUCCGGACCUAGGGCCUUCCUUCUUCACUCACCUUCUCAAGACAGGCGUGACGGCAGACAUCGUAAUCUAUAGUGGCUUAUUCAAGUGCCUCUGCGACUUGAAGUGCACAGAGGAGGCUUUGGAUAUGCUGCUCCACAGAAUGCCGAACGACGUAAGUGAUGCCAUCUCCUACUCAGUAAUUCUCAAGAGUCUUUGCGACAACGGGAGGAGCCAGCUUGCGCUUGACGUGCUCCAUAUAAUGACCAAAAAAGGUGCUGACUACUCCCCGGAUGUGUUUGCAUACAACAUGGUAAUCGAUGGCUUCUUUAAGGAAGGUGAAGUAAGCAAAGCAUGCGAUCUGUUCCAUGAAAUGAUACAACAGGGGGUUGUGCCCGAUGUGGCGAUGUAUACCUCCAUUAUCAAUGCGCUAUGCAAAGCAAGAGCAAUGGACAAGGCAGAGGUGGUUCUUCGAUCAAUGGUUCAUAAUGGUGUCCAACCAGAUGUUGUGACAUAUACUAUCAUGAUCCAAGGAUAUUCAACUUUGAGACAGUUGAAAGAAGUCGCUAGGUUGUUGAAAGUGAUGAGAAGCCAAGGUGUUAUGCCAAGCGUUGUUACCUACAACUCACUCAUGACCUGCCUUUGCAAGAAUGGAAGAUUCAAGGAAGCUGUAGAAAUUUUUUAUUCAAUGGCUGUGAAGGGCCUAAAACCUAAUGUCAUCUCAUACUCUAUAAUACUCCAUGGAUACGCUAAAGAAGGAUCCCUUGUUGCCAUGAUUGAUCUCUAUCAGUUGAUGGCAGCAGAAGGGGUCAUACCUGACCUCCAUUGUUUCAACAUACUAAUUGCUGCAUAUGCUGAAUAUGGAAUGAUGGAUGUGGCUAUGCUUUUCUUCGAAGACAUGUUGAAGCAGGGGGUGAACCCUAAUGAAGUCACAAUUUUUGUCUGUGAUAGCUGGAUUAUGCAAAAUGGGCAGGAUGGAUGA
Molecule: ribosomal RNA, 1302 nt
Filed under: Triticum aestivum (bread wheat)
Lineage: Eukaryota; Viridiplantae; Streptophyta; Magnoliopsida; Poales; Poaceae
Description: partial small subunit ribosomal RNA
Source: RNAcentral